AUGAUACAUAUAAUGGCAGAGUUCUACGGAUCUGAGAUGAUGGUGCCGUUCGGACCAAAGACAAUAACAAAUCUGUGUACAAGUUUCCAUAGAGAUGACACAAAGGAGGGUGACAUGAUUGAGACAAUUGCGCACUUCAAAGAUAUACAGAAAACCGAUCCAGACUUCUUCUAUAAGUUGAUGGCAACCCUCGAGGACCUCCUCCACCUCCAGGCCCUACACAGCAUGGUCCUUCACCUCCUCCCCUGCCUGGUCCAACAAGCCGUGCCCUGCGUGCUCCUCCCAAUGGCCCUACAGGGAGUACUCAGGGGGCUCGUCAUCCAGGUGAUUACCACCCAAGUGCCAUGA
Molecule: ribosomal RNA, 348 nt
Filed under: Triticum aestivum (bread wheat)
Lineage: Eukaryota; Viridiplantae; Streptophyta; Magnoliopsida; Poales; Poaceae
Description: partial small subunit ribosomal RNA
Source: RNAcentral